UAAUCUGGGUUAUAUUAUAUCCCAAAGGGACUGCAGUUUUACAAGGUCUUUCGUCUUCUCCGCCUCCCCAAAUGACAACUCCAAGGAUUCAUGGAUGCCAAGGGGUUUGGUUGACAUCCUCAAACAACAUGAUCACAUAUAACAACAACAACAACAACAGACUGAAGAGCAGUAUCUUGGCACAGGUCUUUUAUCUCAUCAUAAUGAAAUUAUUUUUCCAAUCCACCAUUCUCAAUCAACGGUGGAUGAAUCAAUCAACCAUUCUCAAAACAGCUAACAAAACCUUCAAAAACUUCAAACAGAGCUUUGUUUUAGAAAAGACGACCGCACUGAAACCCCAGAGAAUGCCAUUUGCCUCUCAAACAAGGUAUGUGUUCCCCAAGUUUCUUUUGACACGAAAGGGUGCUUUUAGCAACUGAAAGCAUUCUUCUGUUUCUGGUUGUUCCUGCAUCCCUGAAUUUUGGAAGUAUAUGACAGCAUAUAUGGGAGCCCCCGGUGGCGUAGUGGAUUAAACCACUGAGCUGCUGAACUUGCUGACCGAAAGGUCAGUGGAGUGUGGUGGAGGCUCCUCCUUUGGAGGCUUUUAAGCAGAGGCUGGAUGGCCAUCUGUCAGGGGUGCUUUGAAUGCGAUUUCCUGCUUCUUGGCAGGUGGUUGGACUGGAUGGCCCAUGAGGUCUCAUCCAACUCUAUGAUUUUAUGAUUCUAUGAAUCUGGGGAGCAGGGUGAGCUCCCACUGUUAGCCCCAGCUUCUGCCAACCUAGCAGUUCAGAAACAUGCAAAUGUGAGUAGAUCAAUAGGUACCUCUGUGGUGGGAAGGUAAUGGUGCUCCAUGCAGUCAUGUCGGCCACAUGAGCUUGGUGGCAUCUAUGGAGAUGAGCACCAACCCCCAGAGUCGGACACAACUAGACUUAAUGUCAAGGGGAAAUCUUUAUCGUUUACUAUGGCAGCAUAGGGGAGGUGGCAGAAAUUCAGAGGCUAAAAGGGCUUCCAAACCUACCAAAGAUGUUAACUCCCGAUUUAUAUAUAAAUAUUCGCUUCUGUUUUGUGGUGGAGCAGGUCUGAGUGGUGGAGCAAGACCAUGAAAGACUAGGAUUGGGAUCUCUGCCCAGCUAAGGAAAUUGUCUGGAUGGCUUUGGGCAAGUCAUGCUGUGAAAGCAUUGGUACAGCUCCAUAUGAACAAAUCAGACCAAGAAAAUCCUAGGGUGGUGUUGCCAUAAGUCAGAGAUGACUUGACAGCACACAACAACAACAGCAACAACAAAACAACAAUUAUAUUAUUAUGAAUGUAUAAUUUGGACAUCACAGCUUCUUGAAUGGGAGGUUCUAUGAACUUCAUUUGUGUAAGGUUUGACUGGGUUACAUGAUAAACGAAGAUAGGAAUAUAACUAUUGGAUCAGCCAAGGGGCCCCUCUAGCCAACGUAGUUUCACAGUGGCCAGCUGGAAGUCCAGAAGGAAAAUACAAGUAUCUCAGCAUCCUCCUACCCUUCAGAACUUGGCAAGUGGUAUUGAUAGGCACACUGUGCCACUUGUAUGUUUAGGCACAUGGAGACACUCCAGAAUUUGUUCCAAGGUUGAGGGCUAGACUAUGCUCUUAUCCUUCCCCAGGUACAAGGAAGCACAGAGCAGAAGGAUACCGUACAGCAGGGGUUCCUGGCCUUUGGGCCUCCAGUGUUUUGGACUUAUUUAUUUAUUUAUUUACAGUAUUUAUAUUCCGCCCUUCUCACUCCGAAGGGCAAACAAUCAAUGCCCAUAACACACACCAAACAGAGACAGAGACAGACAGACACAGAGGCAAUUUAACCUUCUCCAGAGGGGAUGUUCGAUUCUGGCCACAGGGGGGAGCAGCUGCUUCAUCAUCCACUCUGACUGCACUUCCUCACUCCCGGUCGUAAAUUAGUUAAACUUGCCUCCCCACUUUUAUAAGUGGUACCUUAUUUCCUACUUGAUGGAUGCAACUAUCUUUCGGGUUGCUAGGUCAGCAGCGAGGAGGGGCUAUUUUUAAUUUUUAAUUGACGGAUGCUCACCCCGCCACGGGCUGGCCUCGAACUCAUGACCUCAUGGUCAGAGUGAUUUAUUGCAGCUGCUCAACAGCCUGCGCCACAGCCCGGCCCCGGUGGACUUCAGCUCGCACAGUUCCUAACAGCUGGUAAGCUGGCUGGGAUUUCUGAGUUGAAGCCCAAAACACCUGGAGACCCAAAGGUUGCUUGGGAACCACUGCUGUAGAAAGUAAGACAAUAAAUAAAAUGAGUCACGGCUCAGUUGUGGAAUAUAUGGAUGGCAUGCAAAAUGUCCUACUGCCUCAUCACACCAGAGCAUGGAUCCACUUUAAAUCUAGUUUCUGCCUUCUGCAGAUUUCUGGGGUUUGUAGUUUGGUGAGGCCCAGGACUUGUCUGGCUGAGCUAUUUAAAGGCUCCUCCCUAAAGUGGAUUUAAAGUGGAUCCAAGCUCUAGUGUGAUGAGGUCUUACUACAUACUUUUGGUAUGUUCAGAUGGGAAGACUCCUGUCUGAGGCACUCUAAAGGGCCACUGGGAGUCAGUGCAAAUAAGACGGGAAUUUGAAUGAUGCAAAAGUAGUCUCUAUAUGCUGUCCGUUAUUGCCUUUCCUCUUGCUUCCUCAAGCUUCCCACAAACAAAGGAAGAUGGACAGUGGGAUUAGGAAGGGUCUGCUCAGAAUGCGUGAUGUGUCAGACCCCUCUAACCCCUCCAGUUCAUUCAAGUGAGUUGUCAUGUGACAGUCUCAGUCUGAAUGGAUUGAGAAUCCCCUAGACAGGUGGCAAUGCCAAUCACAACUUCCUGUUGUUACUCUUGUAAAAAGCUUCAGCUCAGACCUCUGGUUGUUUGACUUCUUGAACCAAUUAGUCAAAUGUUGCUUGUCCAUGAGAAUAAUAGUUAGGGAGCAGCAGCAAGAGAGUCUUGUCCUGAAAGACUUAAUGGAUGCAUCUACACUGUAUAAUUAAUGCAGCUCAACACAACUUUAACUCUCUUGGCUCAGUGCUAUGGAAUUAUGGGAGUUGUUGUUUUGCAUGGUCUUUAGCUGUCUCUGCAAAAGAGUGCUGGUGCCUCACCAAACUACAAAUCCCAGUGUUCCAUAGCAUUGUGUAGAUGCACACAGUGAUGUAUAUUUCAGUACAAACCUUUCUGGAUUAGAAUCCACUAUGGAUCAGUGUGGAAAGGAUGUAUGUCCUUUUAGACUGGCCAGAGGCAGCAUUUCUUCCAGAUGUGGCUGAACAGCAACACAUGACAUAGUGGUGAGGAAUGCUGGAAGAUGCAGUCCAAUAACAUUCAGUGCCCAGCAGGAUCCCUACCCUCAUUGUGAAACAUUUAUCUCUCUUGUGACAUGAUAGUCAAGCAUUCACAUCACUGGAACAGGUCAACAUAGAGGAAGCCCCCGUUCAACUGGUUGCCUUCUUGAUUCUUGAAAGAAGUUGGGGAUCCUCUGGUGGCCCACAUUUCAAGCACAGUGGAGGCCCCCCAGUCCAAGUGAAAUGUGCCACCGCUUCCCAGGAACUUACCUUUCUCUUUGCAGGAGCUCUAUUACGUUCUGCCCAUUACAACUGUAUUUCUUUUUUGCUUUUUGAUCACAAGGCAACACAAGUCCAUUGCAGCCAACUAAUUAAUCUUGCUCCUUGCUUUCUUGGAUUGACUUUAGGGAUCCAUUCUGGCUAAGUCCAAUGACAGAUGCCUAACCCUUUUCUGUUUUUCUGUUGCAACAGCCCUCCCCCCCAAAUAUCUCAACCAUCUGGUCGUACAUGAGCUUGAGCAGCUCAUCCCUUCUUAGGAUCAGCAUAGGUCAAAGCAAUAUUACUGGAAAUAGAAGCCCAAAGAGGGUCAGUCCUGGGUUCUGCUAGUUUCUUAUUGCAUUUCCCAAACUACAGCAACUCCCCAAUUGUGCAGGAACCUAUAGCUGACUUCAGUUCCAUUUAAAGUUCAAUGGAACGAUUGCCAGCUUCUAACUUGCUUUCUCGUUAACUUGAUUUAAUUGAAUUGAUUUGCACAGUUGUGUUUUAUACCAGUUACCCAAGGACACUAAAUUUAAAUGCAUUUCUAAAUGGUGAAAUGCACUGACUUUACAAAGGCAUGUACUGUAUAUACUCGAGUAUAAGCCGACCCGAAUAUAAGCUGAGGCAUCUAAUUUUACCACAAAAAACUGGGAAAACAUUGACUCCAGUAUAAGCAGAGAUACCAAUAAAAUUACAUUAAUUGAGGCAUCAGUAGUUUAAAUGUUUCUGAAUCUUUACAUCAAACUGUAAUUUAAGAUAUGACUCUGAUUAAAUCAUUAUUUUCAUCUUCAAUGUAAAUGUGCUUAUGUAUCCUUUUAAUAAUAAUAGAGUGAAAUAAUAAAUGUAAUAAUAAUAAUAGAUGCAGUAAAAUAAUAAAUGUAAUAAUAGAGUAAAAUAACAAAUGUAUUAAUAAUAAUAAAAAUAGAGUAAAAUAAAUGUAAAAGUAGCAACAAUAAUAGAGUAAAAUAAUAAAUGUAACAAUACCAAUAAUAAUAGAGAAAAAUAAUAAAUAUACCAUAUAUACUUGAGUAUAAACCGGGCUGAAUAUAAGCCCACCAGGGCCCUCACCUGAGUAUAAGCUGAGAAGGGUUUUUUUUCAGUCCUAAAAAAGGGCUAAAAAACUAGGCUUAUACUCGAGUAUAUACAAUAAGUAUUCUGGGAAGGGAAUGCCGCAGUAUGGUUGAAAAUAAUAAUAAAAAAGAUUGAUAUAAAGUUUUCACAAACUACUGGGCUAGAAAGAAAAAUUCAGAUCAAAAUUCAGUGCAUGAAAAGAACAGAAAAAUGCAUGGAAUGUAACAUUAUUCUCUGAUUAGCAACUGUAUUCAAGGAAGAGACCAUGCCAUCAUUUUAACAUUUCAAGUUGCUUCUAGACAAAGCUCUUAUUGUGCAAUUGUACUGCACCACUCACAGAAUUGCACAAGGGGUCAUAGUCCUACUGGUUCUCCCAUCUUUUUUUUCCUUAGGAAAAAAAAAUCAAGGUAAAAGUGGGAUGGCUGCAGUAUAUAUUUUCACAUUUAACACAGCAAUGCUUCAUAUAAAACCAUUCUACAUAAAAGGAGUCCUUCAGUUAACCAAGUUUUUGAAGAACAAAGGAUGU
Molecule: long non-coding RNA, 5097 nt
Organism: Anolis carolinensis (green anole)
Lineage: Eukaryota; Metazoa; Chordata; Lepidosauria; Squamata; Anolidae
Source: Ensembl